CGCGCGGCGAUUGGCUGGCAGAAAGGCAGAGGCGGGGCCAGGAGAGAAAGCUUUGUGGUUUGGUUUCAGGGAAGUAGCAGGCGCCGGUUGAGAGAACUACGGCCCUGUCGGAAGGUAACCUCCGGUGCAAACGACCAUCGGCGGCAGGCGAGCGGUACGCUUGGCGUCCGGGCCUUCCUGGGCCCGUCUGAGGAAACUUGCUGCUCGAGGCCAGGCUGCCUAGGACCUGUCCCUUUUUUCUGUACUGGCUCCCACAUCCGGGUUUUUUCUCCGGGACGGCCCUUCGGAUGCUUGGGCCAAUGGGAAUCGCCAUUUAGGGUGCUCCGCCCACCGGGUCGCGUAGAGCAUCCUGGAAGUCGUAGUAAAUCUCUCGAGAGUUCCCUCCGCACGCGGGCUGGAGAAGCGGGUCCUACGCACGCUUUGUUGUCGCGCUUUGCCUCCGUCCUUACCCCUACUCCCGCCUUACCUGACUUCCUUUUCGGAGGAAGAUCCUUGAGCAGCCGACGUUGGGACAAAGGAUUUGGAGAAACCCAGGGCUAAAGUCACGUUUUUCCUCCUUUAAGAUUUACCUCAACACUUCACUCCAUGGCAGUUCCCGAGACCCGCCCUAACCACACUAUUUAUAUCAACAACCUCAAUGAGAAGAUCAAGAAGGAUGAGCUAAAAAAGUCCCUGUACGCCAUCUUCUCCCAGUUUGGCCAGAUCCUGGAUAUCCUGGUAUCACGGAGCCUGAAGAUGAGGGGCCAGGCCUUUGUCAUCUUCAAGGAGGUCAGCAGCGCCACCAACGCCCUGCGCUCCAUGCAGGGUUUCCCUUUCUAUGACAAGCCUAUGCGUAUCCAGUAUGCCAAGACCGACUCAGAUAUCAUUGCCAAGAUGAAAGGCACCUUCGUGGAGCGGGACCGCAAGCGGGAGAAGAGGAAGCCCAAGAGCCAGGAGACCCCGGCCACCAAGAAGGCUGUGCAAGGCGGGGGAGCCGCCCCCGUGGUGGGGGCUGUCCAGGGGCCUGUCCCGGGCAUGCCGCCGAUGACUCAGGCGCCCCGCAUUAUGCACCACAUGCCGGGCCAGCCGCCCUACAUGCCGCCCCCUGGUAUGAUCCCCCCGCCAGGCCUUGCACCUGGCCAGAUCCCACCAGGGGCCAUGCCCCCGCAGCAGCUUAUGCCAGGACAGAUGCCCCCUGCCCAGCCUCUUUCUGAGAAUCCACCAAAUCACAUCUUGUUCCUCACCAACCUGCCAGAGGAGACCAACGAGCUCAUGCUGUCCAUGCUUUUCAAUCAGUAAGUGGGGCCUGUGGCUGGGUGGUCCCUGGAGCGUGAUGGCCAGGAGGCAUCUCCAUGGAAGCAGGCCUCAGAACUCUGCCAGCAGAGCUCUGAGCCAAGUAGGGCUUUGCAGAAGGGACAGCGACCAAAGAUGUGAAAGGAGGAGGCUGUGGCUGGGCCCAUGGCCUGUGGGGAACAUGGGGAUGAGGCUGGAAAGGUCUCCAUGGCCAGGGCUUGCCGGCUUUUUUCAGCCUUGUUUGAGGGCUGAGGGAGUCCAGGCUCUGGGCCUCAUUUUCCCAGCCCCUAAAAUGGGGGCAUGCAAGGCAAGGUAUGUGUAAAACUGCAUCGAGAUGUCCUUGAACAUUGGCUAAGACUGGCAGAAGUCAGCGUGCUCAAAAACAGCAAGUGUGGGAGAUGGGGAUGCGUGAAACUCUUGUGCCUGGCGUCAGGGUGGAGGCCGGUGCAGCCGAUGUGUAGAGGGGCUGUUCACCAUUGUUGAGUGAAGUCGUGGGUGUGGGUGAGUUCAUCUGGUGGUUCUGUUUCAGGGGCUGUGAGUGGGGCAUUCGUCAGUGUUUGUGGUGGGGAGUUGGAGGCUGUCUGGGAGAAGGGAUGGCUACAUGCAGCAUCUCACCAUGCUGCACUGCGUGGCACUUAGAAGAACAGAAAGCGCAACUUUAUAAUAGUGCCGAGAGAAGAUUGUGAGAACCUGAAAAAUACAGAAAAAUGAUACCACAUGUGCAGCCUGUCCACAAAGCUGUAUAUUUUGUGAGAAUGCCGAUGGAAAAAAGGAUACCUAGUAAACAUGAGGAUGGCUGCUUAAUGGAGAAAGAAGUAUGCAAUGAGAAGAGGGAAAUUAGAGAAACAGCAUAUCAGAAAAGUGAGGGUUCCCUGGCUUCAAGGAGGUCCGUCUGGUACCCGGGCGGCAUGACAUCGCCUUCGUGGAGUUUGACAAUGAGGUACAGGCAGGGGCAGCUCGCGAUGCCCUGCAGGGCUUUAAGAUCACGCAGAACAACGCCAUGAAGAUCUCCUUUGCCAAGAAGUAGCACCUUUUCCCCCCAUGCCUGCCCCUUCCCCCGUUCUGGGGCCACCCCUUUCCCCCUUGGCUCAGCCCCCUGAAGGUAAGUCCCCCCUUGGGGGCCUUCUUGGAGCCGUGUGUGAGUGAGUGGUCGCCACACAGCAUUGUACCCAGAGUCUGUCCCCAGACAUUGCACCUGGCGCUGUUAGGCCGGAAUUAAAGUGGUUUUUUGAGGUUUGGUUUUUCACAA
Pan troglodytes (chimpanzee) is the source of this 2521-nucleotide RNA transcript. It is a transcript of the gene named small nuclear ribonucleoprotein polypeptide A, with no coding region annotated. NCBI's taxonomy places the organism in Eukaryota, Metazoa, Chordata, Mammalia, Primates, Hominidae. The record is from RefSeq and is a predicted model, not a curated record. The transcript is spliced from 6 exons.